UACGUAGGCAGCAAGCGUUGUUCGGAGUUACUGGGCGUAAAGGGUGCGUAGGCGGCUUUUUAAGUUUGGUGUGAAAUCUCCCGGCUCAACUGGGAGGGUGCGCCGAUUACUGAGAGGCUAGAGUGUGGGAGAGGAAAGUGGAAUUCCUGGUGUAGCGGUGAAAUGCGUAGAUAUCAGGAGGAACACCUGUGGUGUAAACGGCUUUCUGGACCAUAACUGACGCUGAGGCACGAAAGCGUGGGUAGCAAACAGG
This 253-nucleotide ribosomal RNA is filed under the name uncultured bacterium. Its description in RNAcentral is "partial 16S ribosomal RNA". It matches the Rfam family "Bacterial small subunit ribosomal RNA", at positions 524 to 776 of the family's 1533-position model. The record is from RNAcentral.